This 400-nucleotide ribosomal RNA is filed under the name uncultured bacterium. Its description in RNAcentral is "bacterial SSU rRNA". It matches the Rfam family "Bacterial small subunit ribosomal RNA", at positions 30 to 433 of the family's 1533-position model. The record is from RNAcentral.
AUUGAACGCUGGCGGCAGGCCUAACACAUGCAAGUCGAACGGUAACAUGAACUAGCUUGCUAGUUUGAUGACGAGUGGCGGACGGGUGAGUAAUACUUAGGGAACUGCCCAGAGGUGGGGGACAACUAUUGGAAACGAUAGCUAAUACCACAUACGACCUACGGGUGAAAGGGGGCUUCGGCUCUCGCCUUUGGAUGUACCUAAGCGAGAUUAGCUUGUUGGUGAGGUAAUGGCUCACCAAGGCGACGAUCUCUAGCUGGUCUGAGAGGAUGAUCAGCCACACUGGAACUGAGACACGGUCCAGACUCCUACGGGAGGCAGCAGUGGGGAAUAUUGCACAAUGGGCGCAAGCCUGAUGCAGCCAUGCCGCGUGUAUGAAGAAGGCCUCGGUUGUAAGUAC